UACGGAGGAUCCAAGCGUUAUCCGGAAUCAUUGGGUUUAAAGGGUCCGUAGGCGGUUUGGUAAGUCAGUGGUGAAAGCCCAUCGCUCAACGGUGGAACGGCCAUUGAUACUGCCAGACUUGAAUUAUUAGGAAGUAACUAGAAUAUGUAGUGUAGCGGUGAAAUGCUUAGAGAUUACAUGGAAUACCAAUUGCGAAGGCAGGUUACUACUAAUGGAUUGACGCUGAUGGACGAAAGCGUGGGUAGCAAACAGG
This 253-nucleotide ribosomal RNA is filed under the name uncultured bacterium. RNAcentral describes it as "partial 16S ribosomal RNA". It matches the Rfam family "Bacterial small subunit ribosomal RNA", at positions 524 to 776 of the family's 1533-position model. The record is from RNAcentral.